UGAACGCUAGCUACAGGCUUAACACAUGCAAGUCGAGGGGCAGCAUUUCGCUAGCAAUAGUGAAGAUGGCGACCGGCGCACGGGUGAGUAACACGUAUCCAACCUGCCGAUAACUCGGGGAUAGCCUUUCGAAAGAAAGAUUAAUAUCCGAUGGUAUAUUAAGAUCGCAUGGUUUUACUAUUAAAGAAUUUCGGUUAUCGAUGGGGAUGCGUUCCAUUAGUUUGUUGGCGGGGUAACGGCCCACCAAGACUACGAUGGAUAGGGGUUCUGAGAGGAAGGUCCCCCACAUUGGAACUGAGACACGGUCCAAACUCCUACGGGAGGCAGCAGUGAGGAAUAUUGGUCAAUGGGCGAGAGCCUGAACCAGCCAAGUAGCGUGAGGGAUGAAGGCUCUAUGGGUCGUAAACCUCUUUUAUAUGGGAAUAAAGUUUUCCACGUGUGGAAUUUUGUAUGUACCAUAUGAAUAAGGAUCGGCUAACUCCGUGCCAGCAGCCGCGGUAAUACGGAGGAUCCGAGCGUUAUCCGGAUUUAUUGGGUUUAAAGGGAGCGUAGGUGGAUUGUUAAGUCAGUUGUGAAAGUUUGCGGCUCAACCGUAAAAUUGCAGUUGAAACUGGCAGUCUUGAGUACAGUAGAGGUGGGCGGAAUUCGUGGUGUAGCGGUGAAAUGCUUAGAUAUCACGAAGAACUCCGAUUGCGAAGGCAGCUCCCUAGACUGCACCUGACACUGAGGCUCGAAAGUGUGGGUAUCAAACAGGAUUAGAUACCCCUGGUAGUCCACACAGUAAACGAUGAAUACUCGCUGUUUGCGAUAUACAGCAAGCGGCCAAGCGAAAGCAUUAAGUAUUCCACCUGGGGAGUACGCCGGGCAACGGUGAAACUCAAAGGAAUUGACGGGGGCCCGCACAAGCGGAGGAACAUGUGGUUUAAUUCGAUGAUACGCGAGGAACCUCACCCGGGCUUAAAUUGCAAAUGAAUAAUCUGGAAACAGGUUAGCCGCAAGGCAUUUGUGAAGGUGCUGCAUGGUUGUCGUCAGCUCGUGCCGUGAGGUGUCGGCUUAAGUGCCAUAACGAGCGCAACCCUUAUCUUUAGUUACUAACAGGUCAUGCUGAGGACUCUAGAGAGACUGCCGUCGUAAGAUGUGAGGAAGGUGGGGAUGACGUCAAAUCAGCACGGCCCUUACGUCCGGGGCUACACACGUGUUACAAUGGGGGGUACAGAAGGCAGCUACCUGGCGACAGGAUGCUAAUCCCAAAAACCUCUCUCAGUUCGGAUCGAAGUCUGCAACCCGACUUCGUGAAGCUGGAUUCGCUAGUAAUCGCGCAUCAGCCAUGGCGCGGUGAAUACGUUCCCGGGCCUUGUACACACCGCCCGUCAAGCCAUGAAAGCCGGGGGUACCUGAAGUACGUAACCGCAAGGAGCGUCCUAGGGUAAAACUGGUAAUUGGGG
RNAcentral lists this ribosomal RNA (1445 nucleotides) under uncultured organism. Its description in RNAcentral is "16S ribosomal RNA". It matches the Rfam family "Bacterial small subunit ribosomal RNA". The record is from RNAcentral.